This is a long non-coding RNA of Myotis myotis, 768 nucleotides long. RefSeq lists it as uncharacterized. The record is from RefSeq and is a predicted model, not a curated record. The transcript has 2 exons. Lineage: Eukaryota; Metazoa; Chordata; Mammalia; Chiroptera; Vespertilionidae.
UGCAGGAGGCAGCCAAUCAAUGUUUCUUUCUAAUUGCUGUUUCUGUGUGUCUAUCCUUUCCCUUCCUUUCUCUCUAAAAUUAAUUUUAACAUUUAAAAAAUGUUCUGAUUUCUUUAUUUUCUUCUCUAGUAGCUCUCUUUGCUAGAAAAUCUUUUCUGCUUAAUAAAGUAAUCUGAAUAAAGUAAUUCAUUCAAAUGUGAAUGUAAAUAAAAGUGAGCAUGGUUGGUAGCGUUUUUUCCUUAAGAUCAUUCUGAUUACAAAAGCUCACACCUGCUGCUGGUACAUGCUCAUUGAAGAUAAUAAAAGAAUGAAGAAGUAUAAGGAGGAAAGUAGGAAUGUCCACCAUCCUAUAUAAUAAAAAGCUAAUAUGCAAAUAGACCAAACUGCGCAACAAUCGGACAACCGGUUGCUAUGACGUGCGCUAACUACCAGGGGGCGCACGCAGAACGUGGCAGACGUCAGCAGAAGGUUGCAGAGUGUCAAACAUGGCAGGUGUUGGCCGCAGUGGGAUGGUGGAGCAGAUAUUAGCAUUUAAAAGUGGAAGUUGAGGUAUCUGUUUGGAAGAAUGGGGGAAAGGAGGAGACUUCCAAAUUGGUGGCCUUCUCUGACUUCCCCUGACUGCUUUCACCUUGCCUGAUCCUCUAUGCUCCAGUGUGUUUCACAGACACUAAUCCUAGGGAAUGCUCUUUGAAAACAAGAAAUCAAGAAAGUUUGAAAAUAUUGUAUGUAAUUUUCAUGGAGUUUAAUAAAAGUUUUUUAGAAGAACAA